AUAGAACUAGGUUACUAUAUUAUUAAUAGCAUCAACUCAUUUGUACUAUUAGGUUUUCAGUUUUUGGAUGAAGGGAUAUGCGGUUAGGUUAAUAGUGAUUUUCUAGAGUUGACUUGAUGAUUAAUUGAAUAAUAUAAUCUAACAAGUUGAAAUAAUAAAAAAGAUAGAUCAACGGUAAAAAAGUUGAAAUUAUAAAACACUUGAUGCUGUCGACAGUAUAACAACCGGAAUCAUAUAUACAUAUACACACACAAGCACGACCCUAAAAAAAAACUUUACAUAGAAUAAAAAUUAUCAGAUAUUUU
This 305-nucleotide long non-coding RNA is filed under the name Ananas comosus (pineapple). Its description in RNAcentral is "long non-coding RNA (ACOM_LNC037436)". Lineage: Eukaryota; Viridiplantae; Streptophyta; Magnoliopsida; Poales; Bromeliaceae. The record is from RNAcentral.